UACGUAGGGUGCGAGCGUUGUCCGGAAUUACUGGGCGUAAAGAGCUCGUAGGUGGUUUGUCGCGUUGUUCGUGAAAACUCACAGCUCAACUGUGGGCGUGCGGGCGAUACGGGCAGACUGGAGUACUGCAGGGGAGACUGGAAUUCCUGGUGUAGCGGUGGAAUGCGCAGAUAUCAGGAGGAACACCGGUGGCGAAGGCGGGUCUCUGGGCCGAUACUGACGCUGAGGAGCGAAAGCAUGGGUAGCGAACAGG
Molecule: ribosomal RNA, 253 nt
Filed under: uncultured bacterium
Lineage: Bacteria
Description: partial 16S ribosomal RNA
Rfam family: Bacterial small subunit ribosomal RNA
Source: RNAcentral